RNAcentral lists this transfer RNA (74 nucleotides) under Blechnopsis orientalis. Its description in RNAcentral is "tRNA-Met". It matches the Rfam family "tRNA". From Rfam's summary of the family: Transfer RNA (tRNA) molecules are approximately 80 nucleotides in length. Their secondary structure includes four short double-helical elements and three loops (D, anti-codon, and T loops). The record is from RNAcentral. Lineage: Eukaryota; Viridiplantae; Streptophyta; Polypodiopsida; Polypodiales; Blechnaceae. RNAcentral also lists the same sequence under 6 other names.
CGCGGGGUGGAGUAAAUGGCCAACUCGUCAGGCUCAUGACCUGAAGACUGCGGGUUCGAACCCUGCCCCCGCAC